AACGAACGCUGGCGGCAUGCCUAACACAUGCAAGUCGAACGAGACCUUCGGGUCUAGUGGCGCACGGGUGCGUAACGCGUGGGAACCUGCCCUUAGGUUCGGAAUAACUCCCCGAAAGGGGUGCUAAUACCGGAUAAUGUCUUCGGACCCAAGAUUUAUCGCCUUUGGAUGGGCCCGCGUUGGAUUAGCUAGUUGGUAGGGUAAAAGCCUACCAAGGCGACGAUCCAUAGCUGGUCUGAGAGGAUGAUCAGCCACUCUGGGACUGAGACACGGCCCAGACUCCUACGGGAGGCAGCAGUGGGGAAUAUUGGACAAUGGGCGAAAGCAUGAUCCAGCAAUGCCGCGUGAGUGAUGAAGGCCUUAGGGUUGUAAAGCUCUUUUACCCGGGAUGAUAAUGACAGUACCGGGAGAAUAAGCUCCGGCUAACUCCGUG
Molecule: ribosomal RNA, 433 nt
Filed under: uncultured bacterium
Lineage: Bacteria
Description: partial 16S ribosomal RNA
Rfam family: Bacterial small subunit ribosomal RNA
Source: RNAcentral